CUUGGACCUAGAUUCAGACUGUUAUUUUAUAAAAAACAGUCUUAAUCCAGAUCCAAACC
RNAcentral lists this microRNA precursor (59 nucleotides) under Oreochromis niloticus (Nile tilapia). RNAcentral describes it as "microRNA oni-mir-10850 precursor". Lineage: Eukaryota; Metazoa; Chordata; Actinopteri; Cichliformes; Cichlidae. The record is from miRBase by way of RNAcentral.